This is a long non-coding RNA of Biomphalaria glabrata, 3387 nucleotides long. RefSeq lists it as uncharacterized. The transcript is spliced from 2 exons. NCBI's taxonomy places the organism in Eukaryota, Metazoa, Mollusca, Gastropoda, Planorbidae. The record is from RefSeq and is a predicted model, not a curated record.
GCGAUCCUAGAUUUAAUUUUUAUCUAUUUUUAUCUGUAUUUUAAGUUUAACUAUCUAGGCUAGUGCUGAGUGCGUGCAUGGUUCCCGCCAGCUCUUUUACUUUAGAAGUUAGUUUGUACGAGUCAUGACCUGGCUCUAUAAAUAGAACAGGUGCGGUCAGUUCUUUCUUUUUUUUCCGGUGUUGACCGUCGGUCAGUGCAACCAUGUAGAAGAAAUAAGUGUUUAAUUGUUGCGCUUGUAUUCAGCUGGGACCGCCUGCUAUAAUUCCUGCUGUCGUUAAGUCUGCUGUUGUUAGUCUACUGCCUGUAGGCUGUUGUUAGUCUACUGCCAUUAGUCUGCCAUCGCCUCCCUGUACCUUUUUUUGUUAUAUUUUAUUAAUUCUAAGCUUAGGUCUAGGGUAGUAAUAGUUAGAUAGUUGGUUUGGUUAGUCUGUUAGUGUUUGUAGAUUUAGAGGGUUUUAGUUAGUUGCUGAGUUCAGUUGUAGUGUUAGUGUAGCUCUAUAUGUUAUAUUUUAUUAUUGAUUUAUUUGUGUAUGUAAAUAAAGUUUCUUUUUGUUUUAUUUAUCCUAAAGUAAAAGUUUCGUUAUUGCUUUCUUUUAGUUAGUUAGUUUAGUUUAGUUUAGUUUAAUUGUGCUGUCUGGUUGCUUAGGCGACUCUAGCCCCUUGGUCGCAGACCGAGGUGCACAGAUUGGGCCCACCCAGUAGCGCAAACAUCUGCCUACUGUAUAAAAUUUAAUGUUGAGCAGCAGAAGAGAAUAGGCCACCACACUCGCGCCUGCCUGACCUGGCCACAUUUUUGGUGUCAGAAGUGGGAUCUGUGCUUAAGUAAUCAGACACACAUUGUUUUCUUAGGGAUUAGGUUGUUAGUUUUUUUUUGAGGCUUUUGUUAGGAUUGCAUAGGUUGGUAUUAGUUUUAGGUUUGGAUAGCAGUAGGAAUCAGUGUUGGAGAAUUUAUUUUGUUGUUGGUUGUUAGAAUAUAGGAUAUGGAUAGUUUAGUUUGUUGUUUGAGUUUUGUUUUAUGUAGUGGUCUUCGUUAUGGUCAGUAGUGAGUUGGUUUUAAUGUUACUUGGAGAUGUAGUUCUAGGAAGUUGUUGUAGUGCGUUGUGAGGUAGUUAGUAUUGUUGUUAUGGGUUAGGGUUAGAGUUGGUUAGAGUUGAAGUGUUAGGUUAGGGUGGCAGAAUGGCAGCAGCGGCAGGAAGGAUGCAGCGGUCCCAGGCUGAAUUUGAGGUGCCUCGGAAGAGUGAUCUGAGAGGAGACAAGUCUGCAGCUCUCCCAUGCCUGCGGAGAGGUGUCAGCCCAGUGUUGACGGAUGGCGAGAUGGCAGUUGAAGUCUGGACUGAUGGGUCAUCGCCAAACUUUGUUAUUGAAGGUGUUAAGCGAUACUACCAAAACUUAGACAGCUCCAGCACGGGUUUUUUUUGCAAGUAUUCAUGUACUGGACUGACAGAGGUGCCCCACUUCCACCUCUGUGUUAUAAACAACUGGGCCAGUUUGUCCAAUUAGGACGACUGUCCGCCCAGUUGCAACGUAUGGUUUAAUGGCCCUCACAUCUUGAGGUCGCCACUGAAGAAAGCCUUCCACGUCAUCUUUCUGUAAACCACAUGGAUUUCGCUCCUCACUUACUGGGUGUCCUGUGUCAGCCGCUGGUCAUCUCUACUGGACAGCGGUGGUGGACCGGCCAGAGAUGUAGAAGUCGUCAAGAGCAGAGCAAACCUGUCGUGUCUUUUUCCCUUUUAUUAAAUGUUUUUUAUAUGUUCUUAUCACACUGUUCAUUGUGUGGCUCCUUUUAUACUUUGACUUGUUUUAAUGUAUUUAUGCAUAUUAUUUUUAAUUUGUAUUUAUGCUUUUAUGUAUUUUGAAUAAUGAUUAAUUUUUUUGAGUAUGUUCCAUGGGUGUUUGCAUGUGUUGCAACCCAAUAAGUUUUUUGUAAGUCUUUAUUGGGCUCUCAAAAGCCAAUAUUGUGCUUGGUUGCUGUAGUAAAGUGCUGUUUGUGCAAUUUUUCUAGUCAUGUUAAUUUUCGAUGUUGCCGUCAAGGUACUCGUUAUGUUAUUUGUCUUGGAGGCCAUGACGUAGAUAAAUGUAAUACAUUUUACACAGUAUUUUGUUGUUGCCUUUGGAAGGCAAUGUAAUGUUUUUUUAGUAGACUUUUUUUGAAGUACUUAAGGUACUCAUUAAUGUCAUGUUAGGUUGAAUUGUCUGACAGUGGUACUUUUAUUUUGUAUUUUUCUAUGUCUCACCACCACUGUUGGAUGCCCUGUGUUUUGGUUAUAGCACUGUAACUUCAGGUUGUGUUAUGACACUUUGAGUGUACCAUUUUUUAAUGUUUUGGUCUUUGUGACCAUUGUGAGCCUUCAGUGGCUGGCCAUAAGUCUGUGUGACUAUGGGCCUGUUGAAGCCUUGGUGGCUUUGUACAAGUCUGUGUGACUUUGUUUUAGCCUGUGUGGCUAAGGCACUGAGUUAAGCCUCAUAGAGUUCCUGUUGGUCUGUGUGACUAAGUUUAUCAUGUUUGGCUAGGGCGUCAUUUGCUCUAACCAUGUAGUUUUCGUUAAUUACUUUUUUUGUCGUUCCAUUUUUUUAAAGAUGUCAUGCACUAUAUUUUGUAUUACCUGUAUUUUUAUUGUUUUCUGUUGAAAGCUUUGCCACUUGUGAAGCCAUUUAGUACUGAGAGCUAUGGUUAUAGUUCUCCGUUCUCUUGUAUGAAUUCAUUUUUAUUUUAUUUCUGCUGUAUAUAUUUUGACUUUUUAUCUCUGUAUUUUGUGUAUUUUUAUUUUGCGGGGACGCAAAAGUUUUGAGCGGGGAUGAAUGUGAGCUGGCGAUCCUAGAUUUAAUUUUUAUCUAUUUUUAUCUGUAUUUUAAGUUUAACUAUCUAGGCUAGUGCUGAGUGCGUGCAUGGUUCCCGCCAGCUCUUUUACUUUAGAAGUUAGUUUGUACGAGUCAUGACCUGGCUCUAUAAAUAGAACAGGUGCGGUCAGUUCUUUCUUUUUUUUCCGGUGUUGACCGUCGGUCAGUGCAACCAUGUAGAAGAAAUAAGUGUUUAAUUGUUGCGCUUGUAUUCAGCUGGGACCGCCUGCUAUAAUUCCUGCUGUCGUUAAGUCUGCUGUUGUUAGUCUACUGCCUGUAGGCUGUUGUUAGUCUACUGCCAUUAGUCUGCCAUCGCCUCCCUGUACCUUUUUUUGUUAUAUUUUAUUAAUUCUAAGCUUAGGUCUAGGGUAGUAAUAGUUAGAUAGUUGGUUUGGUUAGUCUGUUAGUGUUUGUAGAUUUAGAGGGUUUUAGUUAGUUGCUGAGUUCAGUUGUAGUGUUAGUGUAGCUCUAUAUGUUAUAUUUUAUUAUUGAUUUAUUUGUGUAUGUAAAUAAAGUUUCUUUUUGUUUUAUUUAUCCUAAAGUAAAA